UGGGGAAUUUUGGACAAUGGGCGAAAGCCUGAUCCAGCCAUUCCGCGUGCAGGACGAAGGCCCUCGGGUUGUAAACUGCUUUUGUACGGAACGAAAAGGCGCUUUCUAAUACAAGGCGCUCAUGACGGUACCGUAAGAAUAAGCACCGGCUAACUACGUGCCAGCAGCCGCGGUAAUACGUAGGGUGCAAGCGUUAAUCGGAAUUACUGGGCGUAAAGCGUGCGCAGGCGGUGAUGUAAGACAGUUGUGA
This 250-nucleotide ribosomal RNA is filed under the name uncultured bacterium. Its description in RNAcentral is "partial 16S ribosomal RNA". It matches the Rfam family "Bacterial small subunit ribosomal RNA", at positions 355 to 597 of the family's 1533-position model. The record is from RNAcentral.